Molecule: small nuclear RNA, 102 nt
Organism: Dipodomys spectabilis (banner-tailed kangaroo rat)
Lineage: Eukaryota; Metazoa; Chordata; Mammalia; Rodentia; Heteromyidae
Source: RefSeq, a predicted model, not a curated record
UUUGUGCUCACUUCGGCAAAAUGUAUAAUUAAAGGAACGAUACAGAGAAGAUUAGCAUGGCACCUACAUGACAUGCAAAUUUGUGAAGUAUUCCAUAUUUUU